RNAcentral lists this long non-coding RNA (229 nucleotides) under Lathyrus oleraceus (garden pea). RNAcentral's name for it is "Pisum sativum (pea) long non-coding RNA (PSAT_LNC015998)". The record is from RNAcentral. Lineage: Eukaryota; Viridiplantae; Streptophyta; Magnoliopsida; Fabales; Fabaceae.
AGGGUUAAAUUCCUAAACAUACAAGAGAUAAGGGAAAAGAAAAUAAAACCACAUUAGGAGUUCCCCUCUUGAGAUCAUAUUGAUGAUCCAAGUAGCUCCCAUCCUUUGGAAUAAGUAGUCACAAACAAAUAUCUCAAGCCAUUAAGCACAGGUAAUCGGAAUAAACCUCCAGGGGGUAUCCCACAAAUAAAGUGGAACACCAGGCCAUCUCUGCAAGAGUCAUGUGAGG